Molecule: long non-coding RNA, 265 nt
Filed under: Bos taurus (domestic cattle)
Lineage: Eukaryota; Metazoa; Chordata; Mammalia; Artiodactyla; Bovidae
Description: long non-coding RNA NONBTAT012558
Source: RNAcentral
UGGCUCUUGGGAGAAGGUCUUCCCCACACUGUAGAGAAUACCUCAAAUGGAUCAACCAGGUAAACAGGAGGUGUUUAGCCAAUGCUAGCUAGUGGUAUGAAGACCUGACUGCAGCUCCAUUGGCUUCUCUGAGGCUGGUUGGAUUCUGGUCAGUAUCCUAUCCUCAUCACUAUGCUUUAUUCCUUACGACCAUGUGAAAGCCUAUUGCUUUCAGCUCCUUGACCUAAUCUAAUGUGAUGAUUCAUAUCUUUCUUUUCACAUCUCC